UCUCCCCUGCCAGGUUUUAACUACGUGUCCGUUCUUUUAAAACCCACAUUUCUUCUACGGGAUGCCAACUCGCACUGCGGAUUGCAGGCCUCCCGGCCCUCUUUUGAGGAGUCUGGAUGUUGGAAGCAGUGAACCGGUGCGGAGGCAACCCACCUGCAUUCUGUGCAGGUUUUUAUCAGGGCGGCACGGCCAUGGCGGGGGUUCU
This 205-nucleotide non-coding RNA is filed under the name Clostridiales bacterium. RNAcentral's name for it is "6S RNA". It matches the Rfam family "6S / SsrS RNA". Rfam says of the family: E. coli 6S RNA was the first non coding RNA to be sequenced, but its function was unknown until recently. It consists of 184 nucleotides that fold into an extended hairpin structure with a large single-stranded internal bulge. The 6S RNA specifically associates with RNA polymerase holoenzyme containing the sigma70 specificity factor. Lineage: Bacteria; Bacillati; Bacillota; Clostridia; Eubacteriales. The record is from RNAcentral.